UUCCAUUAAACAAAAAAGAAAGAGAUAAAGUCAUGAAAAAUUCCCAAGUUUCUGUUCAAUUUUUCAUGUUGGUUCUUCUUUUCUCUGGACACACCUGCAGUGAAGAAAUAAAAUUGCCAAGUUGGAAAAUACCAGAUUGCUCGAUUUUAUGUAAGACACGCCAUGGAGUGGAGAUGAAGCCGUCGGAGUUUAUUUUAGGGGUGGUUGCUUAUGCUCCUACCCCUGCCUUUCUUCUUAAAUCCAAUCCUUUAUUUAUUUAAUGCCAAAAUCCCACCAAUAAAACUCUCAUCUAUUGCUCUUAAUUAGUUAACCAAAUA
Long non-coding RNA from Gossypium arboreum, 317 nucleotides. RefSeq lists it as uncharacterized. Lineage: Eukaryota; Viridiplantae; Streptophyta; Magnoliopsida; Malvales; Malvaceae. The record is from RefSeq and is a predicted model, not a curated record. The transcript is spliced from 2 exons.